Long non-coding RNA from Felis catus (domestic cat), 3756 nucleotides. RefSeq lists it as uncharacterized. NCBI's taxonomy places the organism in Eukaryota, Metazoa, Chordata, Mammalia, Carnivora, Felidae. The transcript has 6 exons. The record is from RefSeq and is a predicted model, not a curated record.
GAGAUACCAGAACAAUCUCUCUCUUUCUCCCUCUCCCUCCUUCCCCUUCUCCCCUGCCCCUCCCCCUCUCACUCUCCCACUAGGUGAGGACAUGUGAGGACAGUGGCCCAAGAAGACUGACACAGGGGAUGAUCAGAACCGGAAAUUCAGAAUUUUACAUUAGCUGCCUAGCAUACAGUGGAGUUUAAUGGCAAACCUCUAGCCGGAGAGUUGCGACAAGGUCAGUUGUAACUAUGCUGAAAAUCAGUGUGUAAGAAAUGCAUUCUCCUCCAGCGUGGUCCUAGAACCCUGAAUUUUAGCUAGGCACAUUACCCAACAUAAGAACUCUAUUUUCCAGAUUUCUUUUAGGUAGUGUGAUUUGGCUAUGUGACAAAGUUGCCCAAGAAGACAUUGGCAGAAGCAUCACGUACAGCAUCCGAGAGAUGUCCAUAAAAAGAGAGGGGACACCCUUCCCCCCCUUCCUCAUUCUUACCGGCUUGAAUGCACAGUCGAUAGCUGGAGCUCAAGCAAUCUUUUUAGAGUAGGAAACCACAUGCCAUGUAAUGCAGAAAAGAGAGAGAAGGGCCUAUGUUUUGACCUCUUGGUGCCAACCUUGGACAAUCUGCCUAUGGACUUCUUUAACGUAAGAGAAAAGUGAACUAACUUGUUUAGGCCACUAUUAUUUAAGGCAGCCCUACUCAGUAUCACUUGGGAGCUUGUUAGAAAUGCAAAUUCUCGAUUCCCACUACAGACCUCCCUAAUCAGAAUCUCUGGGGCCCAGAAGUCUGUGUUUUACCAAGCUCUUCAGGUGAUUCUUGUGCUCUCUAAAGUUUGAGAGGCACCGAUUUAGAGUUUCCCAGCGCAUACACCUAAACUGAUAGCUGAUAAAGUAGUCCUAAAUUGCAGGUUUUGUCAAGGACUUGGUGAAGGCUUAAAAGGCACAUGAUAUAAAGCCAGGAAGGAUGGCAAAGCCAAUAACCGAUAGUGUCAAGAUUUAGAAUGAUCUUGACAGAGUGGAAUACUGGACAAACGCCAAGAAGAUGAAACGUAAUGGGGAUAUAUAAAAAGCAAAUCAAAAUGUUAUUUUUUUAUUGAAGGAAAUAUAAAAUGUUCUUCUGUUUGACUCCUUAAAUUAACAAGAAGAAAUGUAAAAUUGCAUAUUUUAAAGUACAGCAAAUAAUGCUAUAAAUCAAUGCCAAUUAUGGCUAGUGAAAAGAACAAGGGAAGGAGAGAAGAUCCGGAAAGGGAAGAGCACAGAACGCAAAGGAAUAAAGAGACAUAGUCAAGGACAGAGAGGGAGAGAACAGAGGUCCCUCCAUGGGCUCAUUCGUGGAUCCUGAGAUGACCUUCACAGCUGGAGAUACAGACGCUGCGGCAGAGAGAGGUUGAGUAAGUUUCCCAAGACCACACAGCUGGCACAAGGUAGAAGUGGGAUAUGAACCCAGGUGACCAGGGUUCAGGGCUGUGGCCCCUCAGUUGUUCUGGUGUCUCUAGCCUUUGCUGCUGCCCCACUCUUCUGACUGACUGAUUACUUUCUACUGGUUAAAGGCCUCCCAUAAAAAUAAGGAAAUCCACUAUCUCACAUGACUGUUAAGUGCAGAGGUAGGGUGGGAUCCAGGGGCAGCAUCAUAAUGAGCUCAAAGAUGUCAUCACAGAUACAAGUUUUUCCAUUCCUGUGUGCUGUUGUCCUGAGCAUCUGGGUUUAUCCUAAAGCUGGAUCCCCCUCAUAGUUCCAAGACAGCGGCCAACAGUCUCGAAGCCUUGUGCUGUCUUUUUCAUGGCCAACAAGGAAGAGAAAUCUUUGCCCUAAGCAUGGAAUAUACUGGAAUAUAAGUCCUUUAAUGCAGUUUUAUUGUACCAAUGUAGGCAAAUGGCCAUUCUUAGACAAUAGGGGGCCAUCAAGGGGAAUACUAUGAAUUGAUUGUGAUUGAUUACUCAGGACCUACCCCUGAAUUAGGGAUGGGGCCAACCAAGUCAGGACUCUACGCUACCCAGGACAAAUGGGUUCCACUAUUUGUUGUGAUUCCCUCUCCCUUUUCUUCUAAAGCAAAUUAAGUUUCCUCAUCUGUUUGAACCCUAGCAAAAUAAUAAAAUACUGACAAAUUCAUAAAAUAUUCACUAGAGAGCAGCUAGGAUAUAAAACCGUAAUCCCCUCUUUCCAACUCUUCAACAGCCUUCUUAACCUUGUGUUUUUGGGCUGAAGCCCUCUUGCUCUCCCUUGGCAGGUGUAAUUGUGUUCGGUAAGGGGGGGGUCGCACGUGGUGGCGGUAGCAGGUGCUUUAGGAGGAAGGAAGUAUCCAGCGUUUACUGAAUGUCCAGGUGCCAAGAAUGAUGCCUUCUUGCACCAUUGCUUCGUUAUUUAUUUCAGUCAUUACAAGGAGAUAGUAUUAUCCCCACGUGAUACAUGAGAGAACCAAGGCCCAGAACCAUUGUGUGUUUGCUCAUGGUCAUUCAGGUAGUCAAGUGGCAGAGGUGGAUUUCAAGCUCGAGUCUGUCUGAUUCUAUUACCCAAGUUCUUACCACCACACCACACGACCCAAUCCGGGAUCGUCUCCAUUUGCUGACAUAAUUAGCAUCGAACUUUUUAACUGAGAUUCCUUGGCUAUGUCUCUCUGCUCUCUGGCUCAUGUUAGUUGUGAGAACUACUCUCAGUUUCUAGCAUACUUUAUAAAAAUUUCUCCUUACUGAACACUUACUAUGUGCCAAAAACUGUGCUAACUGCUUUACGUGUACAACCUCCGUUUACCCUGUCGAUAACCCUGUGAUCCAGUUUAUGAUGCAGAAUGCCUUUAGUUGCAAGUGGUGGAAUCCAAAACCAAACAUCCUGUGCCAAUGGCCACAUCCACAAUUCUCUUCUAGUUCGACUCUCUCUGGACUUAAUUAACUCAGACUGAACACACAGACACUAGCUGGGACAGGCCAGCCUGUGGCAGAGGAAGAAGAAAAAUCGGGCACAUGUUCCUGUGCUUAGAAAUGGCAUGUGUACUUCCAGUCACAUGCCAUUCACCCAAACAAGUUGUAGAGUCAAGCCUGACUUCAAUGGGUGAAAAAUCUUCUCUCCCAGGAAAAGGCAGCAUAGAGACGCAUGGUGAAGACAGCAGAUGUUUUUAAGCAAAUAAUACAACCUACCCAGCAGUGUUCUGAAAUUCUUAUUAAGGACUUGGCUCUCCUCCAAGAAAAAUAAGGUAGCUAUCAUUCAGAACUCUUGCAUUCCAAAUGACUCCUGAUAGGAGCUGCUUGGAAUGACUUUUGUAGCUCUCCUGGAAGCUUGGAUACCAUUGUCAUGUGACAGAACUCACCUCUUUAGUUGCUAAUGCAUUAUAUCUACUGGCCUCAAGCUUGGCCCAAAUUGUCCUUCUAAAAGGAAAGACUGUAAUGGUUUGCCUCGGGGCAAAAUCUUGGCCUGAAGGGUGUGGAUCCUGAGCCCCAUCCUCAAAGAGAACGGAAGGCUCAUUCAACCACGGCUCAGCCUUUCAUCCGGAUUCGGACAUAAAACAACAAAAGGAAAUUUCUGCCACCAACUCCACAAGAAUUCUGGAGGAACUGAAGGGCCGGUCAAACACAGAUGCCUGGCAUGCCACGUAGGUUCAUAGGACAGGCAUCCAAAGAGAUCGUGAUGGUGAUUCAUAGAAUGAACAGCCCACCAUCUUUCCGGGGUCAACUCAUUCAUUCUUCAUGAGUUGCCGUAAAUAGUCCAGAUUUGUUUAUGCCUCUCAACUUAAAAAGAUAAUGAUGAGGAAGAUGCUGAUGCUGGUAAUGAUAAUAGUAAAUAAAAAU